GGGCGAUGACGAUAGUUUCAGUGAAAGGUCUCGUUCGUCGUAAGGGCGAAUUCGCCUUGCCGACCAUCCUGAUAUUCUGAGCCC
Molecule: small nucleolar RNA, 84 nt
Filed under: Nelumbo nucifera (sacred lotus)
Lineage: Eukaryota; Viridiplantae; Streptophyta; Magnoliopsida; Proteales; Nelumbonaceae
Description: Small nucleolar RNA Z43
Rfam family: Small nucleolar RNA Z43
About the family: Z43 is a member of the C/D class of snoRNA which contain the C (UGAUGA) and D (CUGA) box motifs. Most of the members of the box C/D family function in directing site-specific 2'-O-methylation of substrate RNAs.
Source: Rfam by way of RNAcentral